Cygnus olor (mute swan) is the source of this 370-nucleotide long non-coding RNA. RefSeq lists it as uncharacterized. The record is from RefSeq and is a predicted model, not a curated record. The transcript has 2 exons. Lineage: Eukaryota; Metazoa; Chordata; Aves; Anseriformes; Anatidae.
GAGCGGGUGUGGCGGGGACCCCGGGGGCGGCCCUGCCGCCGCUGCCCCGGGUGCCUGAAGCCGGGCCGUCAGCGGAGGCGGUGGCCCUGGGGCCGCUCCUGCAGGCGGGCAGCUCGCAGGGCUGGGAGCCCUCCGUCCCGCAGCCCUCCAGGAGGCAGCUCAGAGCCGCGGAAUUCAUCCCCGUGCUGGCAGCAAACGCCAGGGCAGCCCGCGAAGCCCCAGAGCUUUCCCCCGACGGCGAGUUGCUCGGCUGCAGCGGGCAGCGUGGAUUGCGCACCAAGCACCAGCGAGGCACUUAAUUGCUCUAAUAAAUCAUGGGCUGAAGCGAUGGAAAGGAGCUGAAACGCUGCAGCGGCUUCAGUUUGCUGUU